RNAcentral lists this ribosomal RNA (376 nucleotides) under uncultured bacterium. Its description in RNAcentral is "bacterial SSU rRNA". It matches the Rfam family "Bacterial small subunit ribosomal RNA", at positions 523 to 898 of the family's 1533-position model. The record is from RNAcentral.
AUACGUAGGUCCCGAGCGUUGUCCGGAUUUAUUGGGCGUAAAGCGAGCGCAGGCGGUUUGAUAAGUCUGAAGUUAAAGGCUGUGGCUCAACCAUAGUUCGCUUUGGAAACUGUCAAACUUGAGUGCAGAAGGGGAGAGUGGAAUUCCAUGUGUAGCGGUGAAAUGCGUAGAUAUAUGGAGGAACACCGGUGGCGAAAGCGGCUCUCUGGUCUGUAACUGACGCUGAGGCUCGAAAGCGUGGGGAGCGAACAGGAUUAGAUACCCUGGUAGUCCACGCCGUAAACGAUGAGUGCUAGGUGUUGGGUCCUUUCCGGGAUUCAGUGCCGCAGCUAACGCAUUAAGCACUCCGCCUGGCGAGUACGACCGCAAGGUUGAA